CCUACGGGAGGCAGCAGUGGGGAAUAUUGCACAAUGGGCGCAAGCCUGAUGCAGCCAUGCCGCGUGUGUGAAGAAGGCCUUCGGGUUGUAAAGCACUUUCAGCGGGGAGGAAGGCGUUAAGGUUAAUAACCUUGGCGAUUGACGUUACCCGCAGAAGAAGCACCGGCUAACUCCGUGCCAGCAGCCGCGGUAAUACGGAGGGUGCAAGCGUUAAUCGGAAUUACUGGGCGUAAAGCGCACGCAGGCGGUCUGUCAAGUCGGAUGUGAAAUCCCCGGGCGCAACCUGGGAACUGCAUUCGAAACUGGCAGGCUAGAGUCUUGUAGAGGGGGGUAGAAUUCCAGGUGUAGCGGUGAAAUGCGUAGAGAUCUGGAGGAAUACCGGUGGCGAAGGCGGCCCCCUGGACAAAGACUGACGCUCAGGUGCGAAAGCGUGGGGAGCAAACAGGAUUAGAUACCCCGGUAGUC
RNAcentral lists this ribosomal RNA (465 nucleotides) under uncultured Klebsiella sp. Its description in RNAcentral is "bacterial SSU rRNA". It matches the Rfam family "Bacterial small subunit ribosomal RNA", at positions 338 to 795 of the family's 1533-position model. Lineage: Bacteria; Pseudomonadati; Pseudomonadota; Gammaproteobacteria; Enterobacterales; Enterobacteriaceae. The record is from RNAcentral.